RNA transcript from Hevea brasiliensis (rubber tree), 1194 nucleotides. It is a transcript of the gene named protein trichome birefringence-like 28, with no coding region annotated. The record is from RefSeq and is a predicted model, not a curated record. Lineage: Eukaryota; Viridiplantae; Streptophyta; Magnoliopsida; Malpighiales; Euphorbiaceae. The transcript is spliced from 3 exons.
AUUUGCGCUGCUUAUAAAUUUUCUGAGGCAGUCAAUGAAACUUUCCUCCAGAUUCAACCAUAAAUGCAGCAACUCCUCCAUACUAGUGCUUGUUUUCUUCAUUUUUCUCUGUAAAUGGUUCACGUACAGUGACGAGUUCAAGUCAGUAGCAGAGUCAUUUUUCAUAUCAGGACUUAAACUUGCAGAAAUCCAUGAGAAAGAUGACGAUGUGGAGGUUUUAUUACCACCUAAGGACUGCGAUUUUUACACAGAGAAAUGGGUUCUUGAUAAUGUCACUCACCCUUCGUACAACGAGGAAGAAUGUGAGUUUCUCUCAAGGCAGGUUACUUGUUUGAGAAAUGGAAGACAAGAUUCUUUAUAUCAAAAUUGGAGAUGGCAAACCAGAGAUUUUUCUUUGCCCAAGUAAGUCUCUGUGUUUUUAAAUCUUGCAUCUGGCUACAUAUUUCUUCCUCUGUUAGUGGUUAAUUUAUGUGUUUGAAAAAAGGUUCAGACAAAGAUUGCUGCUGGAGAAACUCCGUGGAAAGAGGCUUAUGUUUGUUGGAGAUUCACUGAAUAGAAACCAAUGGGAAUCCAUGGUUUGCCUAGUGCAAUCUGCAAUCCCUCCAGGGCAGAAGAGUCUGAGUGAAUCAGGCUCUUUUUCUAUUUUCAGAAUUGGGUUGAUUCUGAUGUUAAUUUAGGACUAUAAUGCUACAAUAGAGUUUUACUGGUCACCAUUUCUAGUUGAAUCGAAUUCGGACAAUCCACAGAAGCAUAGCACAUUAGACCGUGUAAUCAUGCCUGAAUCCAUCAAGAAGCAUGGAGAAAACUGGAAGGGUGUGCACUACCUCAUCUUUAACACAUACAUUUGGUGGAUGAAUUCUCCUAACAUGAAAGUCUUAAAGCAAGGAAUAAUGUUCAAUGAAAGUAAUGUAGAAUACAAGGAAAUUGAAAGAACGGUAGCUUAUGGAAGAGUUCUGAUGACGUUGGGUAAGUGGGUUGAGGAAAAUGUAGAUCCUAAUCUCACUUCUGUCUACUUCAUGAGCAUGUCCCCUCUUCAUAUCAAGUAAGCUACCUACAAAGUUCACAAAAUUAAUGUACAAUUUACCUUGAUUUUUAGUAUAUGACAUUGUUUAUGAAUAUAAAUAUAUAAAAUUGAUUUCAGGAGCUCAUAUUGGAACAAUCCUGAAGGGAUUAGGUGUGCUAGGGAGACUACCC